Molecule: ribosomal RNA, 468 nt
Filed under: uncultured bacterium
Lineage: Bacteria
Description: partial 16S ribosomal RNA
Rfam family: Bacterial small subunit ribosomal RNA
Source: RNAcentral
GACGAACGCUGGCGGCGUGCUUAACACAUGCAAGUCGAACGGAAAGGCCCUGCUUUUGUGGGGUGCUCGAGUGGCGAAAGGGUGAGUAACACGUGAGUAACCUGCCCUUGACUUUGGGAUAACUUCAGGAAACUGGGGCUAAUACCGGAUAGGAGCUCCUGCUGCAUGGUGGGGGUUGGAAAGUUUCGGCGGUUGGGGAUGGACUCGCGGCUUAUCAGCUUGUUGGUGGGGUAGUGGCUUACCAAGGCUUUGACGGGUAGCCGGCCUGGGAGGGUGACCGGCCACAUUGGGACUGAGAUACGGCCCAGACUCCUACGGGAGGCAGCAGGGGGGAAUAUUGCACAAUGGGCGGAAGCCUGAUGCAGCAACGCCGCGUGCGGGAUGACGGCCUUCGGGUUGUAAACCGCUUUCGCCUGUGACGAAGCGUGAGUGACGGUAAUGGGUAAAGAAGCACCGGCUAACUACGUG